Molecule: ribosomal RNA, 753 nt
Filed under: uncultured bacterium
Lineage: Bacteria
Description: bacterial SSU rRNA
Rfam family: Bacterial small subunit ribosomal RNA
Source: RNAcentral
GAUGAACGCUAGCGGCAGGCUUAACACAUGCAAGUCGAGGGGUAACAGGGCGUAGCAAUACGCCGCUGACGACCGGCGCACGGGUGCGUAACGCGUAUACAACCUACCUGUAACAGGGGGAUAACGGAGUGAAAACUCCACUAAUACCCCAUAUUGACGAGUCUUCGCAUGGGGAAUCGUCGAAAGCUUCGGUGGUUACGGAUGGGUAUGCGUGACAUUAGGUAGUUGGCGGGGCAACGGCCCACCAAGCCGACGAUGUCUACGGGAGCUGAGAGGCUAGUCCCCCACACUGGUACUGAGACACUGACCAGACUCCUACGGGAGGCAGCAGUGAGGAAUAUUGGUCAAUGGACGGAGGUCUGAACCAGCCAUGCCGCGUGAGGGAAGAAGGUCCUAUGGGUUGUAAACCUCUUUUGCUCCGGAGCAAUAAGGCGGAUGCGUCCGCCGACGAGAGUACGGGGCGAAUAAGCAUCGGCUAACUCCGUGCCAGCAGCCGCGGUAAUACGGAGGAUGCAAGCGUUAUCCGGAUUUAUUGGGUUUAAAGGGUGCGCAGGCGGCGCGAUAAGUCAGCGGUGAAAUGUACCGGCUCAACCGGUGAGCUGCCGUUGAUACUGUCGUGCUUGAGUGCGAGCGGCGCCGGCGGAAUGUGUGAUGUAGCGGUGAAAUGCAUAGAUAUCACACAGAACACCGAUCGCGAAGGCAGCUGGCGAGGACGUUACUGACGCUGAGGCACGAAAGCGUGGGGAUCAAACA